Molecule: long non-coding RNA, 1392 nt
Organism: Seriola aureovittata
Lineage: Eukaryota; Metazoa; Chordata; Actinopteri; Carangiformes; Carangidae
Exons: 3
Source: RefSeq, a predicted model, not a curated record
UAUUUAUAUACAUGUACAUGUACAUUCAGUAUGUGCACAGCUACUCAUAGACACGCCUGCAUGUGGAGUUGUUUGAAGUCUACAGUGUCUCUGCUGCUACAGUAUUUCUGCAGUAUUCCUCCUCACACGGCUGCUUCUCCACAAUGGCUCAAUUUUCGUGUCUCCACCAUUCCAGUGUGCUAUACCACACAGCAAUUAAAACACCUUGCAAAACAACCAGUCAAUGAGAGAUAAAUCCAUUUCCAAGGUGAAUCUAUAGCAGCAGCUCCCAGCAGACGCAGAAAAACCACUGCGGAAAGUGGAGAGGCAGCAGUGCAGCCAUGGGAGGAGGACUAGUUCCAGAGAAGAAAGCAGAAGAGGAGACGAUGAAGUCACAGGGAAGAAGAGGCAGAAAGAAAGAAACAGGCCCUGCAGAAGUCACAACAGGGAGCAUCUUUCUUCCUCUGCCUCUUUAAAAGCUGCCUCCACCAGCCUAUUCUCCUGGGCCAGGCAGCGGCGGCAGAGGGGAGACAUAGCAGGAGAGGAACAGGAGAUAUCAGCACUCAGUAUCUAAUCUCCCUACCCUCUCUAAUGCACCCUGGAGUAUCCUCUCCAGCACCGACACAGGCAGAUAGAUAGGAGUCGACAGCUGCACAGGCUAAAACCCAGCAUCCGAGCUUUACUGCUCGAGCUCUUCCUCAUCCUCCUCCUCCUCCUCCCUGCAGGUUACCAUUGUGCGAGCGAGGCUCUCGUGGGGCGAGCUGACAGUACAGAUAAACGAGUGAACUGGCUUGUGGGAUGCACGCGCACACACCUUCGCACACGGAGGAAACACGCCCUUACACUAUCUUUACAACAGCCUCUAAAUCAAAGAACAUAUUCCUGCACACAUACAACACAAAAUGGGCUUUGGAGAGGAAACAUACAGUCAAAGGAGGUCAGAUUCUCACACACACACACACACACACCAGAUGUAUAGGCAGUCACAGGAGCUUUACCAAAAGGCCUCCUUUAGGCUCAUUUUCCUCUCUGCCUCUAUUAAGGCUGACGUUGAUGAAUGACAGAGAUUACAGGACAGACUGCCACUUAGCUUCAUCACAGAAUGAAUGUAAUCAAACGCAGAGACACGGGGAGCAGCCAGGGAACUCGACAAGAUGGAGGCGGGAAGGGUAACACAACACACAGCGUGAGAGUCCGCCUGUAAGAAAGCGAGCAAAAGAAGUGCUUCAAAUAUCACACCUCUGGCAGACGUUUUUCAGGGACGUUUUUUUUGUCGGACGACCAAAACGGUUGAAAUGUUGUCUCCACUGCACACGUGUUUUUUUUCCUCUGAUUUUGAAUAGAUGUUGUACAUUUUUUUUAUAUUAAUCUGUCACUUUGUUUGAACCAACCAUCUGCCGUGAGCCAUUUUCA